Molecule: long non-coding RNA, 275 nt
Organism: Gopherus evgoodei (Goodes thornscrub tortoise)
Lineage: Eukaryota; Metazoa; Chordata; Testudines; Testudinidae
Exons: 2
Source: RefSeq, a predicted model, not a curated record
GUCAGGGUGCGGCGCGCUGAGAUGAUGUAAUGGCUUUGUGCGGUGGGGGCGGUAGGUUCUGCGCUUCUCGGUGCGACUCGCUAUUCUGGGGCCGCCUCCGCCGGGUCCUAGCCAGACCCCCACCCCACCCCCGGCCCGGCUCUGCCCCGCCACGCCCGUGUGAACCCGGCGUAGGUAAACAUCUAAAAUCUAUUUUAUGAAACUGACGCUCAAUCAAGUAUAACUCUUUGAUGCCUGGUAUCUAAAUCCCCCCCCCACUAUGCCAGCAGCUACAG